RNAcentral lists this ribosomal RNA (693 nucleotides) under Enterobacter sp. INBio3713E. RNAcentral's name for it is "bacterial SSU rRNA". It matches the Rfam family "Bacterial small subunit ribosomal RNA", at positions 74 to 758 of the family's 1533-position model. The record is from RNAcentral. Lineage: Bacteria; Pseudomonadati; Pseudomonadota; Gammaproteobacteria; Enterobacterales; Enterobacteriaceae.
ACAGGGUAGCUUGCUCCUGGGUGACGAGCGGCGGACGGGUGAGUAAUGUCUGGGAAACUGCCUGAUGGAGGGGGAUAACUACUGGAAACGGUAGCUAAUACCGCAUAAUGUCGCAAGACCAAAGAGGGGGACCUUCGGGCCUCUUGCCAUCAGAUGUGCCCAGAUGGGAUUAGCUAGUAGGUGGGGUAACGGCUCACCUAGGCGACGAUCCCUAGCUGGUCUGAGAGGAUGACCAGCCACACUGGAACUGAGACACGGUCCAGACUCCUACGGGAGGCAGCAGUGGGGAAUAUUGCACAAUGGGCGCAAGCCUGAUGCAGCCAUGCCGCGUGUAUGAAGAAGGCCUUCGGGUUGUAAAGUACUUUCAGCGAGGAGGAAGGCAUUAAGGUUAAUAACCUUAGUGAUUGACGUUACUCGCAGAAGAAGCACCGGCUAACUCCGUGCCAGCAGCCGCGGUAAUACGGAGGGUGCAAGCGUUAAUCGGAAUUACUGGGCGUAAAGCGCACGCAGGCGGUCUGUCAAGUCGGAUGUGAAAUCCCCGGGCUCAACCUGGGAACUGCAUUCGAAACUGGCAGGCUAGAGUCUUGUAGAGGGGGGUAGAAUUCCAGGUGUAGCGGUGAAAUGCGUAGAGAUCUGGAGGAAUACCCGGUGGCGAAGGCGGCCCCCUGGACAAAGACUACCGUUCAGGCGAAG